GAAGAAAAUAGGCAAAAACAAAACCAUUUCCAAGGGAUGAAAAGUCCAAAUAUCAUCUUCGGCAAGAAUAACUAUGACAGAGACCAGAAGAGGGCAUGAUAAAGAAAAUGUAAAACUGGGAAUUCAAGAAACAUAGAAUAGAAGAACACCCAUAAAUCAAUUCAAUUUGGUUUUUAAUCUCAAUAAGAAUCCAAAAUCAAAAGAAAAGAAGAUAAGGAAGAGGAAAAAAUCGGAAUGAAGAAUAGAUCACAAGGCAAAUAACAAAACUUGUUGAAGGAAUAUCAAAUUGAAUGAAGUUACCUUCGAU
This 307-nucleotide unclassified non-coding RNA is filed under the name Hevea brasiliensis (rubber tree). The record is from RNAcentral. Lineage: Eukaryota; Viridiplantae; Streptophyta; Magnoliopsida; Malpighiales; Euphorbiaceae.